GCCGCCAUGGCGAAAGGGCUCCCGCCGUCUCUAAGCAGCGGCACCGCCCUCUGACCUCAGCUGCUACUUCCACUUCCGGGCCAAGGCGAGCCUUGGGCGGGGCUGGCGGCCGGGGAGGGGAGCCGGAAGGGGUCGCGGCCAUCUUAGGAGGCGGGCUCGCGUCCGGGAAGCCGGGCUGGGGCCGUCCCGGCACCCGGGCGGAGCGGGCGCCCUCAGCCCGUCUCGGUGCCGCUCUCCACCGUCAGGGGCUCCCAUUGCUCCCCAAGUGCAGACUCAAGUGCUAAACCAAGCCUUAUUCCACAUGGUGUAAGCCACGGGCAGUUUUCCCACCACCUGUUAUCCCGAGCGGACCCAGUUUGAUGAAUGGAGUGCCCCCACUUCCUCCAGCCCUUUGCCUUUCCAGCUCUUUGUCCCCCUCCAGUCUGUUUUCCCUUCUCACCUGGACCUCAGGCCUUCCCCUCAGGCAUCACAUGGAGAACAGAAGUCUAAGCUCAAGAGUGAGGUCCCCAACUCCUUCCACAAACCCCAGCUUUCAUAAAUCAAAACCAAAUUUCAAAGUCCGAAUACAAGAAAAACAUUAAAAACCAGAAGUCACUCA
This is a long non-coding RNA of Peromyscus leucopus (white-footed mouse), 598 nucleotides long. RefSeq lists it as uncharacterized. The transcript has 3 exons. The record is from RefSeq and is a predicted model, not a curated record. NCBI's taxonomy places the organism in Eukaryota, Metazoa, Chordata, Mammalia, Rodentia, Cricetidae.